AUUGAACGCUGGCGGCAGGCUUAACACAUGCAAGUCGAGCGAGCGGCGGACGGGUGAGUAAUGUCUGGGAAACUGCCUGAUGGAGGGGGAUAACUACUGGAAACGGUAGCUAAUACCGCAUACCAUCAGAUGUGCCCAGAUGGGAUUAGCUAGUAGGUGGGGUAAUGGCUCACCUAGGCGCCGAUCCCUAGCUGGGCUGAGAGGAUGACCAGCCAAACUGGAACGGGGAAACGGGCCAGACUCCUACGGUAGGCAGCAGGGGGGAAUAUGGCACAAUGGGCGCAAGCCUGAUGCAGCCAUGCCGCGUGUGGGAAGAAGGCCUUCGGGUUGUAAAGCACUUUCAGCGAGGAGGCGUUACUCGCAGAAGAAGCACCGGCUAACUCCGUGCCAGCAGCCGCGGUAAUUC
RNAcentral lists this ribosomal RNA (406 nucleotides) under uncultured bacterium. RNAcentral describes it as "partial 16S ribosomal RNA". It matches the Rfam family "Bacterial small subunit ribosomal RNA", at positions 29 to 526 of the family's 1533-position model. The record is from RNAcentral.